AUGACAAGACAUUCUAAUCCAAGGAAAGGUUAUGAAAUUGGCUUCCUUCUCCUUGCCUUCCAUGAUGUGUGUGUAUAUAUAUAUAUAUUCAUCUUUUUCUCAUCAUUAAUAAUGGAGGUAUUUGUCACCUGCUCUUCGACCAGCACCUCCAUCUGCUUCCACCAGCCCUGCAUCCUGCCCUGCAUCCAGCUUCCAGACUGGACUCCUCGACACAUCCCUACACAUGCUUCUUCUAUAAGAGGAGGCUGUCCUGAUCUAGAGGUGGAUGGAGAAGAGGCAGUCAGAGAAUGCGUUUGUUCCUCACGACUUCUGACUUCUGCUCAGAAAGACCAUUUACUUAGGUGAUGAAGUCUGGACAGAUGCCUAGGGCUCACUAGCCAGCAUGUCAUUGUACCUACCAUGCUCUGGCUGACUUUCCCAUGAGCAGCUCUACCCAGCCCUCACCGUCUCACAAGCUCCCAGGGAACAAUCCCCUAAAUGUAUGUUUUCCUCUCUUUCCUGCUUGAUCUAUUAAGAUUAAACGCAAUGGUUCAUUUCCCAAAACCGUCAGCACCACUGACAAUUGCUGCAGUAACUUGUUACAAUGGAGACUACUAUUUUAAUUAAAAUCACCAUGGAAACAAUGGGGCCCACACAGGUAAUGCCAGGGUGGGGUGGGGAGGGCAGAACCAAAGUGGGGUGUGUCUCGG
Molecule: long non-coding RNA, 689 nt
Filed under: Cervus hanglu yarkandensis (Yarkand deer)
Lineage: Eukaryota; Metazoa; Chordata; Mammalia; Artiodactyla; Cervidae
Description: lncRNA (ENSCHYG00000023520.1)
Source: RNAcentral